GACGAACGCUGGCGGCGUGCUUAACACAUGCAAGUCGAACGGAAAGGCCCUGCUUUUGUGGGGUGCUCGAGUGGCGAACGGGUGAGUAACACGUGAGUAACCUGCCCUUGACUUUGGGAUAACUUCAGGAAACUGGGGCUAAUACCGGAUAGGAGCUCCUGCUGCAUGGUGGGGGUUGGAAAGUUUCGGCGGUUGGGGAUGGACUCGCGGCUUAUCAGCUUGUUGGUGGGGUAGUGGCUUACCAAGGCUUUGACGGGUAGCCGGCCUGAGAGGGUGACCGGCCACAUUGGGACUGAGAUACGGCCCAGACUCCUACGGGAGGCAGCAGUGGGGAAUAAUGCACAAUGGGCGGAAGCCUGAUGCAGCAACGCCGCGUGCGGGAUGACGGCCUUCGGGUUGUAAACCGCUUUCGCCUGUGACGAAGCGUGAGUGACGGUAAUGGGUAAAGAAGCACCGGCUAACUACGU
Molecule: ribosomal RNA, 467 nt
Filed under: uncultured bacterium
Lineage: Bacteria
Description: partial 16S ribosomal RNA
Rfam family: Bacterial small subunit ribosomal RNA
Source: RNAcentral